GCUCACUUUACAACGAGGUGCUCACAUCCUUUUUGGUCUCCGGAUUUACAUUGUGUGGAUCAUGAUGCCAUUGUGUCUGCUAGUGAGACCACUGUGAGACAGCACACAGGAACAUCCGGUACAGUCAGCCAGAUCUUGCUGCUAGGGCGACAGCCUUAAGAGUUCUGCCCAGUGUCGAUCCAGAAGGAAGCGGCUGUUGGAAGCGAGGCAGAGAGUACUGGCAGAAGAUGAAGUGGAACAUGUGGAAAGUCUAGAAGAGCCUCUCUCCCCCAUUCAAAUUAUCGGAGGGCUGAACCGGAAGUUAGCCAGUUCACCAGCAGAAGUCAACACAGUGGAACAUAUAAACCCCACCGCCAACUAGCAUUUUGGCAGUGUAAUUGCAGAGAGACACAGACAGCAACUCACAAGUAUUAAUGUGAGGAUACCUGCGUUGCCAAAGUCACAGGUAUCAGCGUUGAGUCAAUGCAGUCUAAAUCUAGCGCCCCUUCUCUGCUUUUGAUUGGCUCUCACCUUCUUCCACGAGUGAGUUAUGGGGACAACACACGCACACAAAAAUUGUCCUGCAAAAUGUUAGGUGCAAUAGAUUUCUGGCGCACCUGCACUUGUACUCUGGACCCACGCAUAUUAAAGAUUUGAGACCGAUAUAUGUUUACUAUGAGCAGGUUUCAGUAGGCAACAUUUCGGGUAGCAUGCCUGUAAAAUUGUAAAACUUUCUACAACAAAGGGGAAAACUUGGUAAAGCUUGUAAAUGAUGUGUCAGGAUAGGUCAGA
Long non-coding RNA from Micropterus salmoides (largemouth bass), 771 nucleotides. RefSeq lists it as uncharacterized. Lineage: Eukaryota; Metazoa; Chordata; Actinopteri; Centrarchiformes; Centrarchidae. The transcript is spliced from 3 exons. The record is from RefSeq and is a predicted model, not a curated record.